RNAcentral lists this ribosomal RNA (1288 nucleotides) under Transversotrema chrysallis. RNAcentral describes it as "partial large subunit ribosomal RNA". It matches the Rfam family "Eukaryotic large subunit ribosomal RNA", at positions 34 to 962 of the family's 3401-position model. The record is from RNAcentral. Lineage: Eukaryota; Metazoa; Platyhelminthes; Trematoda; Azygiida; Transversotrematidae.
UUAAGCAUAUCACUAAGCGGAGGAAAAGAAACUAACAAGGAUUCCCCUAGUAACUGCGAGUGAAGAGGGAAAAGCCCAGCACCGAAGGUAGUAUCCGUUUGGGUACCUACCAAUGUGGUGUUUUGGUCAGCUCGUAUGAGUGCGGCUCCAUCUCAAGUCCAGCAAUGAGUACGGUUUUUUGGACUUGGCCCAGAGCGGGUGAAAGGCCCGUUGAGGUGGAGAUCAGGUAUGUCCGCGCUUGUCGUGUUUGACCAUGGAGUCGGGUUGUUUGUGAAUGCAGCCCUAAGUGGGUGGUAAACUCCAUCCAAGGCUAAAUACUUGCACGAGUCCGAUAGCGAACAAGUACCGUGAGGGAAAGUUGAAAAGUACUUUGAAGAGAGAGUAAACAGUGCGUGAAGCCGCAUAGAGGUUAAACGGGUAGAGUUAAGCUGCGUGGAUCAUGGAUUCAGCUGGUGAACUUGACUUGUGCUUGGGCACAUUGUAUCGUCUUCUGAGUCUGCUUAACUGCAGGUUCCAGGUCUCCUGGGAUAUGUGAUGCACUAGCUAGUGAUGCAUACUUGGUUGAUGAGAUGUCGGUUCGUUGGUGCACUUCCAUGGUUCCUUGACCACGAUCGGUGUCGUUGAAUUGCCCUCGUUGUCAAACUGUGGAUGUAGGCUUCCACCUAUGUCCUCGGUGUGACAGCACCCCUGCGAAUGCAGGUCGCAGUUGUCAGCGGGAAGUAAUUCAGUGGACCGGGACAGCGGCCUUGGUUGCCCUUGCAUGCUCUGCUAGAUGACGUUGGGUAUGGUUAUUUGUGUGCCUGUGCAAACAGGCCCUGUGACUACACAAUGUUAUCUAGUUUGGGUAUUGUUUGGGAAUCCUUAUUAUGGGCCAAAGUCAGUGGUGUGUGGUAAACUUUCUACCCGACCCGUCUUGAAACACGGACCAAGGAGUUUAACAUGUGCGCGAGUCAUUGGGCCAUCCGUAACCCAAAGGCGAAGUGAAAGUGAAGGUUUGCUUUUGCAGACUGUGGUGAGAUCCUGUCGUCUCCUGUGCCACCAAGCAUUCGAACGGCAGGCGCAUCACCGGUCCGUCCAAUAAUGUGGUUGAGAUCUAUGGUUUCACAUCAUUGGGGCGGAACAUGAGCGCACACGUUGAGACCCGAAAGAUGGUGAACUAUGCUUGCGCAGGUUGAAGCCAGGGGAAACCCUGGUGGAGGACCGCAGCGAUUCUGACGUGCAAAUCGAUCGUCAAACGUGAGUAUAGGGGCGAAAGACUAAUCGAACCAUCUAGUAGCUGGUUCCCUCC